GGGCCGCUAGCUCAGCUGGUAGAGCAGCACACUUUUAAUGUGCGGGUCGCCGGUUCGAUUCCGGCGCGGCUCACCA
This 76-nucleotide transfer RNA is filed under the name Lentisphaerae bacterium RIFOXYA12_FULL_48_11. RNAcentral's name for it is "tRNA-Lys". It matches the Rfam family "tRNA". Rfam says of the family: Transfer RNA (tRNA) molecules are approximately 80 nucleotides in length. RNAcentral also lists the same sequence under 1 other name. The record is from RNAcentral. Lineage: Bacteria; Pseudomonadati; Lentisphaerota.